AGGACGAACGCUGGCGGCGCGCUUAACACAUGUAAGUCGAGCGAGAACCCAGGCUUCGGUCUGGGGGAAAGCGGCGAACGGGUGAGUAACACGUGGGUAAUCUGCCCUCGACAUCGGGAUAGCCCGGGGAAACCCGGAUUAAUACCGAAUGGCCCAUCAGCUUUUCGAAGCGGAUGGGAAAGGUAGCUUCGGCCUCCGGUCGAGGAGGAGCCCGCGGCGGAUUAGCUUGUUGGUGAGGUAACGGCUCACCAAGGCUUCGAUCCGUAGCUGGUCUGAGAGGACGAUCAGCCACACUGGGACUGAGACACGGCCCAGACUCCUACGGGAGGCAGCAGUGGGGAAUCUUGCGCAAUGGGCGAAAGCCUGACGCAGCGACGCCGCGUGAGGGAAGAAGGCCUUCGGGUUGUAAACCUCUUUCAGGAGGGACGAAGCCACUCGGGUUAAUAGCCCAGAGGGUGACGGUACCUCCGAGAAGAAGCCCCGGCUAACUACGCGCCAGCAGCCGCGGU
Molecule: ribosomal RNA, 509 nt
Filed under: uncultured bacterium
Lineage: Bacteria
Description: SSU rRNA
Rfam family: Bacterial small subunit ribosomal RNA
Source: RNAcentral